GCUUUCCUGUGGCUCAGUUGGUAGAGCAUUGCGCUAACAACGCAAAGGUUGUGGGUUCAAAUCCUAGGGAAAGCA
Molecule: transfer RNA, 75 nt
Filed under: Danionella cerebrum
Lineage: Eukaryota; Metazoa; Chordata; Actinopteri; Cypriniformes; Danionidae
Description: tRNA-Val
Rfam family: tRNA
About the family: Transfer RNA (tRNA) molecules are approximately 80 nucleotides in length. Their secondary structure includes four short double-helical elements and three loops (D, anti-codon, and T loops).
Source: RNAcentral